UUUUGAAAUCAAUCAAAUUGUGAAAAAGAGAGAUAUUGGCUCUAAGAGAUUGGCAUCAAGGUCUGAGAAGGAGGCCAAUUAAUAUCUAAGCCCGUUUUUGAGGUUAUUGUCUAUUUGGUUAUUUCGAUCAUUUUUAAAUUUUUUGUGCUUGUUUUCAACUUAGUUUUUAAGGAGUAUACAAAUUUUGAACUAAGAUAAAUAAUUCAUUCAUUAGUUAUUGAGGUUUAAAUCUAUUUUAGAAAUUACUAAGAUUUGGUUUAGGAUUUAGGGUUUGAUUAGGAUUUGGUUAGGAUUUGAUUUAAGGUUAGGAUUUGGUUAGGAUUUGAUUUAAGGUUAGGAUUUGACUAAGGUUUGAUUUAAGAUAAGGAUUUAUUUAGGAUUUAGGAUUUGGUUUAGGAUUUAGGAUUUAGUUAAGAUUUGAUUUAAAGUUUAGGAUUUGAUUAGGAUUUGAUUUAGGAUUAGGAUUUGGUUAGAAUUUGAUUUAGGAUUAGGAUUUGAUUUAGGAUUUAAAAUUUGAUUAGGAUUUGAUUUAGGAUUUAGGAUUUGGUUAGGAUUUGGUUUAGAGAUUAGAAUUUGAUUUAGAGUUUAGGUUUUGGUCAGGAUUUGAUUUAGGAUUUAGGAUUUUAUUUGAAUUUGUUUAGGAUUUAAGAUUUAGUUAGUUUUUGGACUAAAGUUUGAAUGAAGCCUAAUAGGAUUUCAACUAGGAUUAAAUUAAGAUUGAAUUGAGAUGUAUAUGAAAUAUAUUUGUAAUCAUUCUAAUAUUUCUUUAAGAUUUCUUAUUAUUUCUUUGUAAUUCCUUUGAAGUUUCUCUAAAUUUGAUUAAAGCUUGUUUAGCAUUAUUAGUGUUCUAUUAGAAUUAAGAUUUUUUUGUAGAAAUUUUUAUUCUACCUUCCAGAGCCAAGUGCCUAAAGCAUUCUUAAGCAAGACUUCACAUAUUAUGACAACGUGUCAAUGGCUUAUGAAACAAGAUAAUUAUGUGGUACACAUAUAGAUAACUUAUCUUGUAAGUUAAAAUAUAUAUUUUAAAAAAUCAACAUGUGUUAGAGGUCUAGUAGAAUAUUGCCACAUAGUUCUUAGUUAGAGAGUAUAUA
RNAcentral lists this long non-coding RNA (1091 nucleotides) under Physcomitrium patens. RNAcentral's name for it is "long non-coding RNA (PPAT_LNC007444)". The record is from RNAcentral. Lineage: Eukaryota; Viridiplantae; Streptophyta; Bryopsida; Funariales; Funariaceae.